GAGGGUAUAGCUUAGUAGUAGAGUGCGUGCUUAAAAUGCACGAGGUCCUGGGUUAAUGCUCAGUACCUCCA
RNAcentral lists this transfer RNA (71 nucleotides) under Camelus bactrianus (Bactrian camel). It matches the Rfam family "tRNA". From Rfam's summary of the family: Transfer RNA (tRNA) molecules are approximately 80 nucleotides in length. Their secondary structure includes four short double-helical elements and three loops (D, anti-codon, and T loops). Further hydrogen bonds mediate the characteristic L-shaped molecular structure. tRNAs have two regions of fundamental functional importance: the anti-codon, which is responsible for specific mRNA codon recognition, and the 3' end, to which the tRNAs corresponding amino acid is attached (by aminoacyl-tRNA synthetases). tRNAs cope with the degeneracy of the genetic code in two manners: having more than one tRNA (with a specific anti-codon) for a particular amino acid; and 'wobble' base-pairing, i.e. permitting non-standard base-pairing at the 3rd anti-codon position. The record is from Rfam by way of RNAcentral. Lineage: Eukaryota; Metazoa; Chordata; Mammalia; Artiodactyla; Camelidae. RNAcentral also lists the same sequence under 2 other names.